AGAGGAGCUGGAUGGAUGGGGUGUAGGGCCAGUAGGUGCCCAUCUUGUAGAACUUGAGGUAGUCCUUCCAGUCGAAGAAGACCCGCACCGACUUGGCCGUCUUGCUCGCCUCCAGCGCCUUGGGGCUCGCGCACACGAUGCCCAGACCCGUCGGCAGCGAGAGCGCCUUCUGCGAACCCGUCAGCGCCACGUCCACUCCCCACUCAUCCAUGCGGAAGUCCAACGCACAUAUCGAUGACACCCCGUCCACCAGUAGUAGCGCCGGGUGCCUGUGCUUGUCGAGGAUUUUGCGGACGGCGGAAAGGUCGUUGGUGACUCCAGUGGCGGUCUCGUUGUGGACGAUGCAGAUGGCCUUGAUGGAGUGGGAGGGGUCCUGGCGGAGCUUGUAGUCGAGGGCGGCGAGGUCGGCGCCGUAGCCCCAGUCGCUCUCCACCACGUCCACGUUGAAGUUGAGGCGUUGCUGCUGGUCGAUCCACAGCAGGCUGAACUGCCCGAUCAGGAACGACACGAUCUUGUCCCCCGGCGACAGCGUGUUCGUCAGCGCGCUCUCCCACGCCCCCGUCCCGGUGGUGGGGAAGAGGAAGGGGGUGCCGGUGGUGGUCUUGAAGAUCUGCUUGACGUCCUCGAGGAGGGUCUUGGUGAGGGCGGGCACCGCCGGCGAGCGGUAGUCCUCGUUCUGACGGCUCAUGGCGCGGAUCACCUGGUCCGGGAUGUUCACCGGCCCAG
RNAcentral lists this unclassified non-coding RNA (726 nucleotides) under Hevea brasiliensis (rubber tree). Lineage: Eukaryota; Viridiplantae; Streptophyta; Magnoliopsida; Malpighiales; Euphorbiaceae. The record is from RNAcentral.